GGAAAAGACCCAGGGAAUGGAGAAGAAGGGAAAAGUCAGGAGGUGGCAGAUUUCUUUGAACCCAUUUUCUGGUUAAAAGGGUAGGCAGGAGUUCCUGUCAUGGCUCAGCAGGUUAAGGACCUAACAUAGUAUCCCUGAGGAUGUGGGUUUGAUCCCUGGCCUCAAUCAAUGGGUUGAGGAUCCAGAGUUGCCACAAGCUGUGGCAUAGGUGACUGAUGCAGCUCAGAUCUGAUGUUGCUAUGGCUGUGGCAUAGGCCUGUAGCUGCAGCUCUGAUUUGACUCCCUGGCCUGGGAACUUCCAUAUGCUGCAGGUGUGGCCCUAGAAAGAAAAGAAAAAAAAAAGAGUGGAAAAGACCUGCCCUUCCCUCCAUGCAAAAAGCCUAUUUUUGUUUGUCAGUCAAGCAUUUCUGUGCCUUCUUUGAGACCUGCCUGUUUUCCAUUAUAUAAGAUGAGGAGUAGAAAAAGGAACUAUGAGAGGGUAGCUAUCAAAAGGCCUGAAUUUGCCAUUAAAGAUGUCGUCCAGGAGCUUCCUUUGCUAUCUGAUCUCUGAAUGAAUAUCAAGAGCUGAGGACCGUCAUGGAAAACAAAAGUAAGAACAAAAAGGGAGCCUCUCCGAGUUCUUAGCAGGCAAGAGCUAUAGUAGGAGGGUUUCCAGGUGGAGAAGGGAUGCAUUUCUCUAGUUUCAUCUUCCUUUUGGAGUCCGCUCACUGAUUCUGCUGUUCACACUACCCCAGGUGGCCUCAGGUGUGCUGCUUGUUAACCCACCUGGGCACCAGACCCACAUCCUUCUCUUUGGGCUCCUGGGACAUCUGGUAUUCUCAACAGGAAAUUUAUAAAAUAAUGCAUUAGAGCAAGGAGGAAAUCAUUGGGAAGAAAAUACAAUUAGCAGCAUAUUAAAUACACAAGUUUCCUGAGUGCAUGUUUUGGGUCCAGUAGGGAUGCAGUCUGAACCAGCAAGAGUCAGGCCCCACCCAGCUACUCCCUCACCUGCCUGCCUUCUGGCCCAGCUCCCUGCCUGUUCCUAAGCAGUAGGUGCCAUAUAACUUUCCAUAAUCUGGGAGGAGAUUCCAAGGUAAGACCUAAAGACACCAUGUUGCAAACCACCUGUUCAGCAGAGCCUUCCCACUCCAGCCUGGUUUCCUUUCCAGGCAGGAGCUUGGCCACCAGGUCUGUCACAAUGCAGGCUUCAUCCUCAAGGCAGAGAUCUUGUUCUCUAGAAUCUUCUUCUUAAAGUGGGCUUGUGUUGACCUGGGAGUGGGGGUACAGCUAAUACUUUUAUUUUUAUUUAUUUAUUUAUUGGCACAAAAUUCUUUACAGCCUGUUGGUAUCUUUAAAAAAAUUUUUAUUGGAGUAUAGUUGACUUACAGUGUUGUAUGUUUCAGGUAUACAAGCAAGGUGAAUCAGUUGAUCACUAUAUACAUAUAUAUUCAUUCCUUUGCAGAUUCUUUUCCCAUAUAGAUUAUUACAGAGUAUUGAGUAGAUUUCCCUGUAGUAUACAGUAGGGUUUUGUUACUUAUCUAUUUUAUAGAUAGUAAUAUGAAUAUGUUAUUCCCACCCUCCUAACUUAUCCCUCCCACUCAUGUUUCCUCUUUGGUAACCAAAGAGGAAAUCUUUGAGUCUGUUUCUGUUUUGUGAGUAAGUUCUUUUGUAUCAUUUUUUAUUAGAUUCCACAUGUUGCUGCAAAUUGCAUUAUUUCAUUCUUUUUUUUUUAUAGCUGAGUAGUAUUCUAUUGUGUAUAUGGAAUACACAUCUUCUUUAUCCAUUCUUCUGUUGAUGGACAUUUAGGUUGCUUCCAUGUCUUGGCUAUUAUAAAUAGUGCUGCAGUGAACAUUGGGAUGCAUGUAUCUUUUCAAAUUAUGGUUUUCUCCAGAUAUAUGCCCAGGAGAGGGAUUUCUGGGUCAUAUGGUAGUUCUAUAUUUAGUUUUCUGAGGAACUUCCGUAGUGUUCUCCAUAGUGGUUGUAUCAACUUACAUCCCCACUAACAGUAAAAAAGGGUUCCCUUUUCUCCAUGCCCUCUCCAGCAUUUACUGUUUGUAGACUUUCUGAUGAUGGUCAUUGUGACUGGUGUGAGGUGAUAUCUCAUUGUAGAUUUUUUUUUUUGCUGCACCCAUGGCACAUGGAAUUUCCCAGGCCAGGGAUCAAACCCACGCCACAGCAGCCACCCCAAGCCGCUGCAGUGACAAUGCUGGAUCCUUAACCUGCUGUGCCACAGGAGAACUCCACCUAAUUGCAGCUUUGAUUUGCAUUUCUCUAAUAAUUAGUGAUGUUGCAUCUCAUGCUUUUAGAUGGGACAUGAAUGAAUACUUUUACUUUAAUGGCAGUGCGUUUGUUUCCAUGGGUUCCUUUAAUUUAGAUCACAUGGUAGUGGUUUCCUAUUUACAUGAGCGAUACAUAGUUUAAGUGAAACGGUGAGAAGUUUAAGGGAAAAUAAUGAAUUAAAUAAUAGUUCAGGUGGUAUGUGGCUCUCAUGAAAAUCGGGAAGGUGGUCCACAGGGGACACACUGCCUUAGAGUGACCUGCCUGUCUAAUAAUUAGUGAUAAGACAGGGCUCUAAUAAUAAAAGCCCAACGGGAUUUACCAGCAUUUGGUUCUGGGGGCCUUUCUGUUUCUGGUAAGAACAAGGAAAACCUGGAGAAGAUUUACUAAUCAAUUAGAUCUAUUAGAUCUACUAAUAGUCUCCUCCAUGAGCAUGAAUAACUAGGCCAUUGACUAUGUUUUGUUUCUUCAUCAGCUUCCUCUCAUGCUUUCCUUGCUGAAAUUCAGGGCAGAAGCAAUGGUGACUAAACCUCAGAUUAUUCUGCUUUGGUCAAAUCUCCUUUUGAUAGUUUACCUCCCAAGCCCUGCCUGGACCCUCUAGAAAGAGGAUUUUUCAAAUCUCUUCCUUUUUUUAAUCUGCACUCUCUCAGCCCUUAUCCUCCUGAAACAUGGCAUGGGAUGCAUUCCUAAACCUUGUUUGGCCUGAAAAAACCUACACUAGGCUCAAGUGCUUCUGUUCUGGAGAUAACAUCUUGCUCUGUUGUGUCGCGGGCAUCCCCUGGCAGCUGUUCUAGGUGCAGCGGGAAGGAACUGAGGAAGCCAGCAUCUACUGAGUCCCUCCCAGGAGCCAGGCAUUGCACCAGGCUUCCAUCUGAUUGAGCUCUUCGAGUUCUCCUGCCAGCCCAGCGGGUAUUCUUUGAUACUUAAGGAAACCGAGGUGCAGAGAAGCUCAGUAACCUGCCUCAGGGUCCCUGACUCACGUGAGCUUUGCACGGGUCUUCUCUGGGCCUGCCCUUUCCUGCCCUGUGCGUGCUGCCACCGCCGCUGCUGGGAUAAUAGCGAAAGGUCUCCCAACACAAGGGCUUUCUCUUUUGCCUGCAACAACAAUGAGCUGGAGGGGAAAACAGAUUGAUUAAAGUUGAAUUUGUCCUAGUGGGAAACUGGCCAGAGCAUCUCUGGAGAGCCUCAGGCUGGGCUCGGCUGGCUGUCAGGAUAUGGCCUGGAGCCCGACUUCCCUUCCUGGCCCUCCCUUUAUCUUCCUACCCUCUCUCAUUGCCUUCUGCUCCCUGACCUUACUGCCCCCUCCGUGGGAGCUGGAAAGCAAGCUGCUUGGAAGGAAAUGGCUUUUGUUAUUUAACCUGGAUGAGUGUCUCCUUGUGCCUUCUCUGGAAAUCUACUCAUGGCUGAAGGAGGGGGACAGGGGUCACCCUAAUGUUGUUUGUUUUGGGGAGGCCUAAAAAAGCAAAGGAAGCCCCUUACAUACCUCACUGGAGUUGUCCCCACCUCCUUUCCAAGCACUAAUUCUAACCUUAUUCUUUUUUUAAAAUUGAGAUAUAAUUGAUAUAUGACAUUGUAUUGGUUUUAGGUAUACAACGUAAGGAUUCAACAUCUGUAUAUAUUGCCAAAUGAUCACCUCAGUAAGUCUAGUUAACAUCUAUCCCUAUUCUUAUACAACAUAGGUGGUAAAUACACACACCCUUAGCCUGGCAUUGAAAGCUAUCAACAUGUGGAUCCCAAUUAGCUUUUCCAGUACUGUAAUCUACCACUUCCUUAGACAAUCCUCAUUUUCCUACGGUCCAAAAUAACCAUCCUGGCUAUCUGGCCACCUUGCUCCUCCCACCUCUGCCUAUUAAGCAGCUUUAUGGAAUAGUAAGAAGGGUUAGAUCUGUAGCCCUGGGUUGGAUGUCAUAUCUCCCAGGCUUAUCUCCAGUGAGCUUCAAUUUCCUUGUCUCUAAAAUGGGCCUAAUGAUACAGCCCACCUACUUUGUAAACAGUUAUGAUGAUGAGACAGAAUUAUAUGAAAAACCCUUUGUAAACGCUAAAUACCAUCCAGAUGCCACUUCAUAUUGCUAAGGGAAAAUGACCCAUCCUUGAGGGCUCAGAUCUAUGGUACCACCUCAUGAAGGUUCCCCCAGGGCCUUGGGUCAAAGCAAGCACCCCUUCUUUUGGCAAAGCUCCAACCUGGCAGAAUCUUCACAGCAUGUAUCAUGUUUUGACCACCAUAAGACUUAUUUGUGUCCCAGGCUUUGAGUUUAUGUGGAGGGCAGAGAAGUUAUUUAGGCGUCUUUGUUUCCCAGGGGGCCCAGCGCUGCACAUAGCAAAUUCUCAAAAAACAUUUGUUGAACUGGGGAGACAAAAAAAAAGAAAAGGAAAGAAAGAAGGAAGGAAAAGGGAAAGAAGGAAGGAAAGAAGGAAAGAAAGAAAGAAA
RNAcentral lists this long non-coding RNA (4684 nucleotides) under Sus scrofa (pig). RNAcentral's name for it is "lncRNA (ENSSSCG00005017217.1)". The record is from RNAcentral. Lineage: Eukaryota; Metazoa; Chordata; Mammalia; Artiodactyla; Suidae.